GUGGGCUCUCAGCUCCUCGCUCUCUUACCCUCAGGGACGUUGUUUUCUGCUGGUCUGGGCCACCCACUCCCACGCCACACCCAGGACUCCGGGAGGAAAGUGCGCAGCCUCCAAGGAGAUGAGAUAAACAUGCCCUGUGUUUUGCAACUACUUCUUGGCACAAUCUACAAGACCAACCACAGCUGACAUAUGGCAACAGGGGAAAAAACCUGAGGACACCAUUCCGUACGUGCCAUCCUAUCCAGGGGCUCUUCCAGGUGCAGGCGCAGAAGGUGUCUGGUGGCCCAUCGAGCAAUCUGCCCUGCAAGAUCACUUGACAGCUGGCACACGGAGGGAUACGACUCCUUUCAAUGUGUUUGUAGCCUCGCCCUAGAAACUCAAAGAAGUGCCCCUUUUGUUUCACCCUCUUCCAGCCGAUAGCUCGUCAUGAAUUCAGUAUGAGGACAGGUAAAGCGGCCACAGGAAGGGACUAGGGAGGGACAAUUCGGAUGAGCAAAUCUGUGGAGUGUCUGUUCACCACACUAUCAGCUAGCGGAGCUGGCUGUCAAGUGAGCAAGAUCUUAUUGACCAUAGUCUCAACACAUUGUUUGUGGGAAGGGUGGCUUUGCUCCUACCCCUUACAAGUGUCCACAGUGCUCUGGAGCUAUCACAAUCAUGAGCAAUUCAGAUGUGAUGAACCGGGUGGAUGGUCCAAGAGAGCUGCCUCCUUUCAGCAGGUGGAUUAGGAGACAGAGUUCACGGAUUCAUGAGGGCACUGAUCCGUGAUUAAAGAUGGUGGGGGAGCAGGGUGUUACUCUGAAUGUUUGCAAGCGAAGUGUGGCAUGUGUUUGAAAGGUCAGCCCCUCUAUUCACUUACACAGACUCCUCGACUUACAACGGGAUGAUGUCCCAGCAAAUGCAUCGCAAAUUGGAUAUGUCAUAAGCCCAAACUGCACUUAAUAACCUACCGACCCUUGCCUACCUUGCAUAUGCUCAGAACAUUUACAUUAGCUGCAGAUGGGUAAAAUCAUCUAAUACAAAGCUUAUUUUAUUAAAACGUGAAAUAUCUUAUAUAAUUUAUUAAAUACGGUACUGGAAGUGAAAAAACAAAAUGGUUCAUUUGCUUCUGAACCGUCAUCAAAUUGAAAAAUUGAGCCGUUGUAUGUUGUAGACCAUCUGUACCCAUCAUUCUGAUAAGUGAUGUGUCUGAUCUGAAAUUCACCAAGAGGACAGUGUUGAUGCUUGAAACUGAAGCCCCAAGAGGGAAAUCAAGCAAAGCUAAAACACAAAACCUUGGGGUUUGAACUUGACCUACUGAGUCAAGCCAACUCUGAGCCCUGUGUCUGGAGUUUUUCAUCUGUGAUGAUGUCUUCCUUGCUGUUUUCACCACUUUCAGCUGGAUAUUCAAAGUUCUUCCAACCAAACUCAUCCUACCUGACUCCGGGAAAUCUGAUUCCAGUUAUGUAAAAUGCCUGGAUAUCCUGCCUUUGCCUCCAGUGGCUUGUGGUGAACAAUUAUAAGUUUUGUUUUAAGAUGUUUUCUCCAAUCAAAUAUCCUAGCAACACUACAUCAGAGAUGAACAUUAUCACUGAGUGUGACUUUUUCAAACCAAGAGGCUUCUACCAGCACAUUUUUCCUAUCUUGAAUAGGACUUGAGGGUUUAGAGUGAGACAUAUCCUCUUCAGCGUGGAGCAGGCAAAGCAAGGAGGAAGGGUACACCCAGACCUCUUACUUCUUAGCUCCUCUUCCUCUCUGCUUCCUUCCAUCAUGCUCCAUUCCCUCAUAUCAGCUCCUUGUUCUGUGAAGAGUCUUCCUAAAACACACUUGGUUAAAAGAACGAUGCCAGAUGAUGCCAGGAGAAAUCAAAACCACAAAUUACACCUGUGGGGGUGGCUGCCGGUGUGGUCUGAGUGUUUCUGUUACCAGAAAUCCCUAUGUGGGAAUUCUGGCUCUUAAUGUGAGGGUGGAGCCUGCUGGAGGUGAGUAAUGACCUUACAAGGGAGGCCUAAAAGAGAAAUCUCACCUCAAAAUAGAUGCUAGUGAGUGCAUGUGAGGAGGUGGAGGGAGAAAUGAAAGAGAAGCUCAUUAAAGUCCCUCCCACUCCCCACUGCAGGGUUUCCAGACCGAGGCAGAAAUCAGCUGGGAGAAGCAGGACAUUAGAUGAGCUUGGAAUUUUUUUUUUUGGGGGGGGGUACCGGGGAUCGAACUUGGGACCUUCCGCUUGCAAGGCAGGAAGUGGAACCACUGAGCUAAAUCCCCGGCCCGAGCUUGGAAUUUUGAUAGGAGAAUGGGCUGGACUUCUUAUUAUUCACAGUUGUGCCUGGGAAAACCAUGGAGUCUUCGCUUUCAACCAAAGGCAAGAAAUAACUACUGGUAUAUGAUGGAGCAAAUGUAAUGGGAAGUGGUAAGAAAGAAUGGAACAGCCUGCUGCUUAUACCCUGCCCAAGGAGUCCACUCCAUAACCUGGUUAUGCCAACACUGAGAGUGACUGAGAAAGCACAGGAAUCUGCCAAAAAUGCAGUGGGAAGUAAAGAAAAAAAAGUCAGUUUAGCAACAUGUUAAGAAAAAUUAUUGCAAAUUUGACAAUAAAGCAAAGAGUUGACAAUCAGGAA
This is a non-coding RNA of Heterocephalus glaber (naked mole-rat), 2591 nucleotides long. The record is from RefSeq and is a predicted model, not a curated record. NCBI's taxonomy places the organism in Eukaryota, Metazoa, Chordata, Mammalia, Rodentia, Bathyergidae.